UCGUGUCGUGAGAUGUUGGGUUAAGUCCCGCAACGAGCGCAACCCUCACCUCUUGUUGCCAUCAGGUGACGCUGGGCACUCUAGGAGAACUGCCCCGGUCAACGGGGAGGAAGGUGGGGAUGACGUCAAGUCAUCAUGCCCCUUACGCCCUGGGCUACACACGUGCUACAAUGGCCGGUACAAAGGGAUGCGAGACCGCGAGGUGGAGCCAAACCCAAAAAGCCGGUCUAAGUUCAGAUUGGAGUCUGCAACUCGACUCCAUGAAGGAGGAAUCGCUAGUAAUCGC
RNAcentral lists this ribosomal RNA (286 nucleotides) under uncultured Methylomirabilota bacterium. Its description in RNAcentral is "uncultured candidate division NC10 bacterium partial 16S ribosomal RNA". It matches the Rfam family "Bacterial small subunit ribosomal RNA", at positions 1060 to 1345 of the family's 1533-position model. Lineage: Bacteria; Methylomirabilota (SeqCode). The record is from RNAcentral.